Molecule: non-coding RNA, 118 nt
Organism: Aedes albopictus (Asian tiger mosquito)
Lineage: Eukaryota; Metazoa; Arthropoda; Insecta; Diptera; Culicidae
Source: Rfam
UGCUCAGCAACUCCUAUUCCUACCUCCUCGUGGUACCGGCCAGAAACUACGAGCAACCUUAGGGAAGAUCGGGUAACCAACCCAGGUAGGAAUUUUGAUCGUAGGCUGACAGGGAAGA